RNAcentral lists this unclassified non-coding RNA (440 nucleotides) under Hevea brasiliensis (rubber tree). The record is from RNAcentral. Lineage: Eukaryota; Viridiplantae; Streptophyta; Magnoliopsida; Malpighiales; Euphorbiaceae.
GUCUUCAGAUCCUCUUUAGCAGUGUUAUCUUCAGCUUUAGAAACCUCCACAUGGCGCUUGCAAUAUUUGAUGACCUUGGCUAAGAUCUUGCCAGUAACGUUGGGUACAGGAAUGGUGUUGUUAGCGCAGUCAUCCUCAAUCAUAUGUUUAAUCAUCUCCGAUUCUAGCGCCACCGUCUCAUCGACCUCAAAACUCUCUCCGUUGAAGCUCCUCAAAAUGAUCAUCUUUGAAGGAGACUUGUGAACCAAUUAACAAACCCUAAUUGUAGGCUCACAAUGCCUUCAGGAUCCAAAUCAGCAUGACACCAAGAGAGCAUACUCUCAGAAACUGUCACUGUUGGAUCCAUUGCAUUCCUUCAUAUUUCUAUAUACAGGUUUUGCAUAGAGGUGAUCUAUGCCAAGAAUAUAGCGAUCAAUCAUUCCAGCAGAAUUACAUGCGGG